RNAcentral lists this unclassified non-coding RNA (400 nucleotides) under uncultured fungus. Its description in RNAcentral is "sequence contains ITS1". Lineage: Eukaryota; Fungi. The record is from RNAcentral.
GGACUACAAGGGUUUCUAAUCCUGUUCGCUCCCCACGCUUUCGCGUCUCAGCGUCAGUACCGUCCCAGAGAGCUGCCUUCGCCAUCGGUGUUCUUCCUGAUAUCUGCGCAUUUCACCGCUACACCAGGAAUUCCACUCUCCUCUUCCGGACUCUAGUCCGAUGGUUUCCGAUGGCCUCUCGAAGUUGAGCCUCGAGUUUUCACAUCGGACCUAUCGAACCGCCUACACGCGCUUUACGCCCAAUGAAUCCGGACAACGCUUGCCCCCUACGUAUUACCGCGGCUGCUGGCACGUAGUUAGCCGGGGCUUCUUCUGGAGGUACCGUCACCCUCUGGGCUGUUAACCCGAGUGGCUUCGUCCCUCCUGAAAGCGGUUUACAACCCGAAGGCCUUCUUCCCGC